ACUAAUUCAUGUAAUGUUUUCAGACGUAUUUAUUAUGUAAACAAUAUUACACUUGUGCAACAAUAUAAUAAUGACCUAUCAUUAACAGCACGAAAUUAUACACAAUACUUCGCCGAAUAGAACGAAUAUGUCAAUAAGUCUACGACCUUUAACUCUGCUCACAAGAAAUUUAUUGCUUCAAAGAGGUUUGUAUUGCAACUGCGAGCAAAUUUCGGUUUUACAGUUAGCUUUUACUGUUAGAUUAAACGCUUUGUUAAAGUCAA
Megalopta genalis is the source of this 263-nucleotide non-coding RNA. NCBI's taxonomy places the organism in Eukaryota, Metazoa, Arthropoda, Insecta, Hymenoptera, Halictidae. The record is from RefSeq and is a predicted model, not a curated record.